RNAcentral lists this ribosomal RNA (497 nucleotides) under uncultured bacterium. Its description in RNAcentral is "bacterial SSU rRNA". It matches the Rfam family "Bacterial small subunit ribosomal RNA", at positions 27 to 507 of the family's 1533-position model. The record is from RNAcentral.
CGAGCGAACGCUGGCGGCGUGCUUAACACAUGCAAGUCGAACGGCCUUCGGGUAGCAAUACUUGAAGGUAGUGGCGGACGGGUGAGUAACGCGUGGGCAACCUACCCAUAAGAGGGGGAUAACAGCUGGAAACGGCUGCUAAUACCGCAUAAGCUUACCGGGACACAUGUAUUGGUAAGUAAAGGAGGCUUAGGCUUUCGCUUAUGGAUGGGCCCGCGUCUGAUUAGCUAGUUGGUAGGGUAACGGCCUACCAAGGCGACGAUCAGUAGCUGGCCUGAGAGGGUGGACGGCCACACUGGGACUGAGACACGGCCCAGACUCCUACGGGAGGCAGCAGUGGGGAAUAUUGCGCAAUGGGGGAAACCCUGACGCAGCGACGCCGCGUGAGCGAAGAAGGCCUUCGGGUUGUAAAGCUCUGUUGUAAGGGACGAAGGAGCUGGGUAGUAACUGACCUGGCGGUGACGGUACCUUACCAGCAAGCCCCGGCUAACUACGUG